Molecule: ribosomal RNA, 206 nt
Filed under: uncultured bacterium
Lineage: Bacteria
Description: partial 16S ribosomal RNA
Rfam family: Bacterial small subunit ribosomal RNA
Source: RNAcentral
UCGCCCGAUAGAGGGGGAUAACUACUGGAAACGGUGGCUAAUACCGCAUAAUGUCUACGGACCAAAGCAGGGGCUCUUCGGACCUUGCACUAUCGGGUGAACCCAUAUGGGAUUAGCUAGUAGGUGGGGUAAAGGCUCACCUAGGCGACGAUCUCUAGCUGGUCUGAGAGGAUGAUCAGCCACACUGGGACUGAGACACGGCCCAG